RNAcentral lists this long non-coding RNA (231 nucleotides) under Neogale vison (American mink). RNAcentral's name for it is "Neovison vison (American mink) lncRNA (ENSNVIG00000011524.1)". Lineage: Eukaryota; Metazoa; Chordata; Mammalia; Carnivora; Mustelidae. The record is from RNAcentral.
UUAGUGAGUUUUAUGCAUCCCUUAGGUUUCUCUCCAGACCAAGACAUAUUGAUCAACCUGGCUGAAUAUUAGGCUUGGCGAAUCUUUAAGUAAGUUACUUAUCCACUGAAGGUACACCAUGUCAGCCUCCUAGAACAUUUCUAUAAAACUCAGAGAUGUUUAUUUCUGAAAUGGAAUGAAAUCCUGCUUGUGAAACUAGUUGGAAGAAUUACUGCCAGCAUAGCUUCAUAA